RNAcentral lists this ribosomal RNA (363 nucleotides) under Ittostira nr. costulata MB-2015. RNAcentral's name for it is "SSU rRNA". It matches the Rfam family "Eukaryotic small subunit ribosomal RNA", at positions 124 to 489 of the family's 1831-position model. Lineage: Eukaryota; Metazoa; Arthropoda; Insecta; Coleoptera; Curculionidae. The record is from RNAcentral. RNAcentral also lists the same sequence under 1 other name.
GUACCCACAAUUACUUGGAUAACUGUGGUAAUUCUAGAGCUAAUACAUGCAAACAGAGCUCCGACCGGAGACGGAAGGAGUGCUUUUAUUAGAUCAAAACCAAUCGGUGGCGGGUUGGUGACUCUGAAUAACUUUACGCUGAUCGCACGGUCUCGCACCGGCGACGCAUCUUUCAAAUGUCUGCCUUAUCAACUGUCGAUGGUAGGUUCUGCGCCUACCAUGGUUGUAACGGGUAACGGGGAAUCAGGGUUCGAUUCCGGAGAGGGAGCCUGAGAAACGGCUACCACAUCCAAGGAAGGCAGCAGGCGCGCAAAUUACCCACUCCCGGCACGGGGAGGUAGUGACGAAAAAUAACGAUACGGG